CUAGCCGUCCGCGUCGUCGGACAAGGAGUCACCUCCUUCUUGACACCUUUGACCUCAAAUCAGGUAGGAUUACCCGCCGAACUUAAGCAUAUCAAUAAGCGG
Molecule: ribosomal RNA, 102 nt
Filed under: Tropicoporus linteus
Lineage: Eukaryota; Fungi; Basidiomycota; Agaricomycetes; Hymenochaetales; Hymenochaetaceae
Description: partial 28S ribosomal RNA
Source: RNAcentral